This 463-nucleotide small RNA is filed under the name Histoplasma ohiense. Its description in RNAcentral is "hypothetical lncRNA". Lineage: Eukaryota; Fungi; Ascomycota; Eurotiomycetes; Onygenales; Ajellomycetaceae. The record is from RNAcentral.
GCGCUGGUAUGAUCGAGCUCUUUUGGGCCUAACAACAACAUCUUAUUAUUUACAUCAGCAAACGUUACAUGAAAGUCUCAUCAGAGUUGCUGAUGUUGAGGAAACCAAUUCUGGUUUCCCAUUUUGGGCACCUUCAAUGAAAAAAUGGGUCUUCUGAUGGUUGGGUGUUUGGGUAUAGAAAACGAUAUUCUAGAUGACUGCUUGGAUGAGUAGGUGGCGACAUAGUAAGUAAUACACAAGAACAAGUACUGGCGAUUUGACCGCCGCAUAUUGAAAUUCCUUGGGUCUGAGAAAGGAUUACCCGUUGAUACGAGUGGCCGCCUCAUAUCCUACAAAGGGGAGGGAAAAAAACCAUUAGAGAUAUGAUAUGAGUCUAGGCUAUUGACGGCAGCUUAUUUAUCAGCUAGUUACAGCAUAGAAAGAUGGAGUGAAAGUAAUUCUAUACACUGUACAUUCAAUGAGA